GAAGUCAUAGCUCAGAGGUAGAGCAUCUGCUUUGCAAGCAGAAGAUUCCACAUUCGAUCCUCAGCAUCUUCA
Podarcis lilfordi (Lilford's wall lizard) is the source of this 72-nucleotide non-coding RNA. The record is from the annotation of a GenBank genome assembly. NCBI's taxonomy places the organism in Eukaryota, Metazoa, Chordata, Lepidosauria, Squamata, Lacertidae.